This 119-nucleotide ribosomal RNA is filed under the name Triticum aestivum (bread wheat). The record is from RNAcentral. Lineage: Eukaryota; Viridiplantae; Streptophyta; Magnoliopsida; Poales; Poaceae.
GGAUGUGAUCAUACCAGCACUAAAGCACCGGAUCCCAUCAAAACUCCGAAGUUAGGCGUGCUUGGGCGAGAGUAGUACUAGGAUGGGUGACCUCCUGGGAAGUCCUCGUGUUGCAUUCC